CCACUAAUGUAACAUUAUUUGUUGGACCAAGUUAGCAGAAGAACUGACUUGGCCAGAUCAGUUAAAGAAUGUUAAGUACAUAUUUUGUUAGUUAAGUGGUUAGUAAUAACUGACUUAAAUAUCUGCUAAACUAGUAGUUAGUAUAACUAAAUCUGUAGCUAUAAAAGGCACACUAUUGUAAGAACUAUUCAAUGAAUGAAAAUACACGUUUAGUAGAAACUUAUAUUGUAUCAUUCGUUCUCGGCUAAGAUCUUCAAGAAUGAUUAAUGCCGACUCGUUUUCCGCUGCCGCCGGUGCGACGAUUACCGGAAAUGCUGCUGCCACAAGAUUGGUCGCGAAGCAUGUAAAAUGUGUUCAAUUAGAGAAAGACAACUACUUCGUAUGGGAGGCUCAAUUCUCGGCGAUGCUAUGGGGAUUUGAACUCAUGGGAUACGUCGAAGGUGAAAUUGAACUCAACACUCCAUCGACUCGCCAACAAGAUCAGCUUAUCCUAAGUUGGAUCUUGAUAGGGAUUUCGACUUCUAUUCUUCCUUCGGUUGUUGCCUGCAAGACAUCCACGAUGACAUGGAACGCCUUGAAAAGAAUGUACGCCUCCAGCACUUUGGCGAGACAGUUACACCUAAGAUUGCAGCUGCAAACAACGAAGAAGGAAGGCAUGAUGAUGGGAGAUUUUCUUGCUAAGAUUUCAAUCCUAAAAGAUUCGCUAGCUGCAAACAGAGAAGUUUUGAAAGAAAAAAAGGUUAUUUUAAUUGCUUUACAAGGUCUUGGGGAUGAAUAUGAAUCAUUUGUGACAUCUAUUACAACUAGAUACGAUCACUUAAUGACUUUCAUUACAUUGUGUGAAGUCCUGAUCGACUAUGAUCGGCUCGAGGCUAGAAAUUCGACGACCAUGAAUGUUUCAGCAAAAGCAUACAAAUCCGGACGAACAUCAGAUGCAAAUUCGGACGGCGACUCGUCAUUUGAGAAUGUCAGAUGCCAAAUCUGCAACAGGAAAGCUCACUCUGCCCUAAAUUGCUAUCAUCGGUUGAACAUUAUGAAGUACAGACCGACACACACUCGUGAGCUCACGGCUGUUGGACCGAAUGGUGCAUAUCGAUCUGCCCGGAAAGAAAAAUCUGCAACACUCUCCGCAAAUGCAGAUUCUGAUUCUUCAAUGUCUCUUUGGUUUCCCAACACCGGUGCAACUUCUCAUAUAACUCCUACCGCCAAUAAUAUCCAAUCCCCAAGAAUAUUCAAAGGUAAUAAUCAGAUUCUCACGGCUGAUGGUAGUCCGUUAUCUAUUUUGAAUACGGGGGAGAGUAUUGCAAAAGACAACUUCAAAAAUUCUUUCUAAUAAAAAAUUUGUUACAC
Molecule: long non-coding RNA, 1350 nt
Filed under: Zostera marina
Lineage: Eukaryota; Viridiplantae; Streptophyta; Magnoliopsida; Alismatales; Zosteraceae
Description: long non-coding RNA (ZMAR_LNC000566)
Source: RNAcentral